GGGACGCUGGUCCCGCGGAGGGGAGGUGCCGCCCGCUAGGGAGGCGGGGCUCCCGGAGGGCACCGCUGGGGACCUGCCUCCGGGGGCCACCCCGGGUGCCUCCCACCGGCUCGUCGUCCUCCGCGUCGUCUUCCCGCUUUCCUGUUUGCCCCGUUUUCAUCCACCUUCAGAUAUGUGGCCUUGGACCAGGUCCUUGAUUGUAGCCUCAGUCUCCCAUCUGUAAAAUGGGAUAACAGCCGUUCAUUUGUUCCAACCUUUACUGGGCUUCUCUGGGCCAAGCGCAGACUUAGGUUCUGGGGAUACAGGACAAGCAGUCCCGUGCUUCUGGGACGGGAUGAAAACGAGGCGAGGAGCUAGUGUGUUGUAAAUGGAAAAUGCUGUGUGGAUGUUAGUUAAGAGCAAGUCGCCAUGAGGGUCUGCGUUCAUUGCCCUUCUUCCUUCUUCUUUCGGAACUAUUGAGAUUUAUUUGCAAAUUCUAGAACCCGCAGUCCCUGCAGGAAUAUAUUCAGGACCAACGCGGCGCCGAGAGCCUGGAGAAGAUACCCACCUAAAAAAUAACAGCCUGAGUCUGGAUCACAGAAUCUGGCUCCCACCAUCGCUAAUGAAGGGAACAAAAGAGUCGCAUAAAUCAGCAAAAGAAAGAAAGAACUAAAAACUUAAGCACAGCUUUGUGCUACAAAUGUCAAAAACGGUACUCAGUGAACUAGAAGCCCGCUGCCGAUCACGGGCAUCUGAAUCUCAUUCCCAUUCCGCACAAAUCCCUACCAGGGAAGGAAACCAAGUAGACAAAAUACCACGAAUUUUUGGUGACUCCACCGAGCGGGAGGGUGAGCACAGAAGCAAACCACCAGGGAAACGCAGGGGAGACAAAACUAUUGUGAAUAGAAAGCGGCCCCUGCUGCCCCAGGACCCGACCAGAGCUGGGAAAAAGCACUAGGGCUUGCCACUUUCUAGGCCUUUGCACCGAGUUGAGGCAGAGAUUCAAAGUCCAAGGACUUUUUUGUCACAGGGACUGGGUAGGCUUCUAACAAGGGUGGGGGCAGGAGUUUAGCAGAAUCGCACUCUUGCACACAGCCAGGGGGCCAGCCCUAGUCCUCACUGUAUAUACAUACAGGUCAUGGAAACAUGGGUAAAAAUGCAAUCUUCCAGCUCUCAAACUCGUUCAGGUACAGUGAGAAAGCAGCCGAGGAAAAUCUGUUCACAUAUUUGAACAAAUAGAAGGUUUUACAAAGAGCAAUCCAUUUUAACAUGAACAAGACGGAAGCAGUAAGUCCACUACCCAAGCUGAAGGCUUUCGUAACAGGGGAAGCAAUAAAAAAAGAAUUACAGUGUGGGCGAGACAGAUGAAGAACCUAGCCCGGAAGAAAAUGUAAGCAAAGAGAAGAAAAUUCAUCACAUGUGUCCCAGGUUCUAGAACAAAUUAAUAUGACCAUUAGCUGAAGAGAAUAAGGGCUGAAAGAAAUGAUGCAAUGGCACAAUGAGAAGAGAAGGAUUCUACAGCUAAGGCAACGAAAUGAAAAUCAGAAACACCCACCAGAGAAACCAAAUUAGAAAGACCAAGAAAUAGACUGGGCGGCGUGUCCGUCCUCUGGAGUAACACUCAGCCACACGAAGGCAUGAGUGGCCAACACCUGCAGCCACGUGGAGGAACCCUGAAGACCUCAGGCGAAGGGAGACAGGCCGGGUACCAAAGGACAGAUCCUGCGUGGCGUCCCUUCGCAUGACAUCCCUAUUGUGGCAAAUUUACAGAGACAGAGUCAAUGCAGAAGAGGACGCAGCUCUCCAGCCUACUGCUCGAGGAGUUUUCCCAGUCCGCAAACACUCAUAAGUACAUCGACCGAGACACAGACGAGCAGGAUCCCCCAAGUACUCUGUGCCCUUCCUAAUCGCAUCCUGUGUCGUUUCCCCACAGGCAAGCAUUACCCGACUGACGCCAAUGAGUACUUCUCCCUUAUAAAGGAAGACUUUGUGAAGUUCUCCUGAGGAAGAGAGAGAGAGAGGAGAGGGAGAGGGAGAGGGAGAGCGAGAGCGAGAUCUCCAGUUUUCCGAGUGGCAGUUUUUGUUGUUCCACACGCUUACCAACACUUGGAAUUUCCUGUCUCUUUUCUUUGAAAUCGUGGUGUCGUCAUCUCCUUGUGUUUGUGAUUGGCAUUUCUCGGCUGGGUCUCGGUGCUGAGAACCUUUUCACGUGCCCGUCUGGCCCUUUGGAUAUCCUCUGUUGUGUUUUCGUGAAGCACCCGUGGAAAUCACUGAGCAAACUUUCACUAGAAUUCCUGUCUUUUCCUUACCCACUUUUAGAAGAUAUUUGCACAUUCUGACAUCAGCCCACGUUUAAUAUAUUUAUUGAGAAUAGCUCCUGUCACCACACGGUUUGCUUUUUCUCUCUCUUCAUGAUGUCUUCUGGUGAAUAGCAUCUCCUAAUUUUAAUAAAGCCUAACAUAUCCAUCUGUUUCUCUAUGAUUAGUGAUUUUUUUGUGUUCUGUUUAAGAACUUGUUUUUGCCUACUUCAAGGUGAUGAAAUAUUCCUCUGUGUUUCUGCGUUGUCUUCCCGAAGCUGUACUGUCUUACUUUUCACAUUUAGAUCUAUAAUUUAUGUAGAAUUAGUGUUUUGGGGCGCCUGGGUAGCUCAGUCGGUUGAUUAAGUGUCCGAGUGCAGCUCAGGUCAUGAUCUCACGGUUCGUGGGUUUGAGCCCCGUGUCAGGAUCUGUGCCCGGAACCUGGAGCCCGCUUCGGAUUCUGUGUCUCCCUCUCUCUGCCCCUCCCACACUCAUGCUCUAUCUCUGUCUCUGUCUCAAAAAUGAUAUGAUAUAUCAUUAAAAAAUUUAAAAAAAGAAUUAGUUUUUCCAUGAAGUGUGAAAUAGAGAUUAAAUCUUGUUUUUUGUUUUUUUUUUCCCUGUAGGAACUUCCAAAUCUACCAGCCCUGUUCACAAGAAGACCACCUUUCCCCCUGCUCUUCUGUGGUACCUUUCUCAUGAAUCCAGUGUCUGGAUAAGCAUGGGUGUCUUUCUGAAAGGGUGUUGAACUUUGCUGAUGUUUUUGGAGUCUUUGAUAGGAUCGUAUGAUUUUCCCCUUUAUUCUUUUAAUGUAGGGAAGUACAUUGUUUGAUUUUUGAAUGCGUAGCUGGGAGAAACCCCACCUGAUGGGUUGUCCUUAUCAUGCACCUGCUACACUUUAUAUAUAAGAUAUUGUUGAGGAGGUUUGCACCUGCAUUCAUGAAGGAUAGGAGUCUGUGAUUUUCUUUGACAGCCGUGUGAGAUUUUGCUCUCAUGGUAAUGUUAGCUUCAUAAAAUAAGUUGGGGAAUGUUUCCAUUUUUCCUGUAUUUUUUAAAAAGUUUGCAUAGGGUGGUGGUUAUUUCUUUCUGAAAGGUUUGCUGGACAUGAUCUGGACCCGAGGUUGUCUUUGUGAGAAGGUUUUUAAAAUUAAGAACUCAAUGUCUCUAAUAGAUAUAGUACUAUCUGGGUUUUCCAUUUCUUCUUAGUUUUGGAAGCUGUGUGGUUCAGGCUACCUGAUCAUUUUAUGUAACUUGUGGAACUUAUGAUAGUAAGUUGGUUGUGAUAUUCCUUUACCAUCCUUUUAAUACCUGUGUGAUUGGUGAUGAUAUUUCUUUUGCCAUUCAUAAUAUUUUCAGUUUAUGUUUUCUCUUUUUCCCUGAUGAGUCUUGCUAGGGGUUAUCAUUUUUAUUAAUACAGCCAAAGAAGCAAACUUUGGUUUUAAUAAUUAUCUAUAUACUAAAUAUAAUAUAAUAUAAUAUAAUAUAAUAUAAUAUAAUAUAAUAUAAUAUAUAUAUCUUUAUUAUUUGUUUUCUAUAUUAGCUUUAUAUUGCUGCAUAACAGAUUAUCCUGACCUAGUGGCUUAGAACAGUAUACAUUUAUUGUCUCAGCAUCUGUGUGGAUAUAAAAUCUGCUCACAGCACAGUGGUGCCUCUAGCCAUAGGCUCCUCACAGGCUAUACUCACGGGGGAAGCUGUGAUGUGGUCUCAUCUGAAGGCUCAGCCGUGGGGGAGUUGGCGUCCAGCUUACUUAGGACUUUGUUGGCAGGACCAAAUGCAGGACCAAAUUUGUCCUGAGCUGUUGGACUGGAGAAUUCCAUUCUGGGUUGGCUGUCAUCUGGAGGUCUCCCUCUGCUCCUUCCCGUAGGGGCCUCUCUGUAGGGCGGCUCACAGAACAGAAGUCGGCUCCACCAGAGGGAGCAAGAGAGAGAGGGUAGGCAGGACGGCAGCCAAAGUCUUUCUUCGACCUAAUCUUGCAAAUGAUUGCAUCACUUUUGCUUCUGUCUUCUCUUGGUUGCUGUACCACGCAUUGUUUGAAAAUGCCUGCAAAAUGUUAACACACAACUUUUGCCCGACUGCGUAGUUGUUCACGGCAGGAGGGCUGGCACAGUACCAGUUAAUUCAUCAGGGCUGGACAGAACUAGGGUGAUUUUUAUCUUAAUAAAUAAUUGCCUGUCGCCCGGCUCUCUCUGCUGAA
Long non-coding RNA from Panthera uncia (snow leopard), 4467 nucleotides. RefSeq lists it as uncharacterized. The transcript is spliced from 2 exons. Lineage: Eukaryota; Metazoa; Chordata; Mammalia; Carnivora; Felidae. The record is from RefSeq and is a predicted model, not a curated record.